UUAGGAGCGCCGCCUGUACCUCGCCAGCUGGUAGGGCUUCGUUUCCUGCGCCCAGUGGAGGAAGUGACGGUGGCGCAGCUCACGGAUUCCCUCUCCCUCCCAGGCUCCCACCAGCUGAGUCGCAGGAGGUGUGGAGGUGCGCGUGACGGUGUAGGGCACGGCGUGUGUUGAUACUCCUGUAUUAGUGACAAGAUACGCCUUUUGGAACUCUUCGGGCGUCCAGAAAAGCGGACCCGGAAGCCUGCCUCACCUGUGUGGAUGGGGAAACAAGCGGGCAGGUGAGCCAGAACAAGUGCAGGUGACCGUUAAGAGGUAACCUUUGAGCCCCGUGAGUCAAGGUCAUUAACGGAGGAGAUAAAUGAGCUUCUACUUAUCCACAAACUACCACAAUAACCAAUCACUCUUAAGAAAGGAAGUUGUGGCCCACUGCACCUGAUGUCCCUUCCUCCCCACCACCACUCCACACUCCCCAUAAGCCCCCACACAGUAAAAGUAAGACCAGAAAUAUCCCUACCUCUCCUGUUGGAGUCUCCCAUGUACUGCACUGCUGCUGCUCCUCCAAGACUGUUACUGCUGAACCAUAAUCCAAAAAUUUUAUUCCCUUGUGUGUCAAACUUGUGAUCUUCUCCAUCCGUCAUGCAUCAACCCAGCCUUCACAAGGGGAGAUAAGCGACAAGCCGAGUGACCAAUCCCUUGCUGCGUAGUGUACCUCAUAGCUCUACCUCGCCAUUCACUGCCUGCCGUGCAUCCCCAGCUGCCCGCGGCCCGCCACCAGCCAAGCCAGUCUACGCUAUUGUCUCCGCAAGCCCCGUGAUUAUUAACUUUUUUGUGUUUUUAUAUAACAUUGGUCAGCAGAUACCGUGUGAUGGCUUCUAACAGUGGUGAGGGGAUUGCCGAAGGGGGCUUAUUACGACGCAAAACAGACCCCAGCCCUAGUGAGUGGAAGAGAAUUGUGGCGAAAACCAAACGGAACACUGGCCAGGAAUACGUGAGCCGAGAUACAGGGAAAGUCAUAAAAAAGCGUGAGGUAGGGCCUGCAUGCAAGGAUGGUUGUUAUGAUAAGUUGGGCUUAGAUAACAUUAAGAAAAUACAUGAAUCCUUUAGGUGUAUUUCUUUUCCUUUUUUCAUGUCUUCUACUUUACUUUUUCUCCUCUUAAUCUCUCUUUUUCGAUUUUGAAGAUUUUUCUUAUCGUGUUUUAUUGUUAUUUUGUAUUUUGCUAUGAUGUGAUUAUGAUUGUGUGGGUUUGGAGUCAUGUUUCAAGCACUAUAGUAGGAUAUUGAUUGAAUAAAAUAAGGAGAAAAACGCGAUCAAAGUUUUCGACAUUUGGAAUGCGAUAGCUAAAAAAAAGAUCAAGCUAGAGAGCUGAGAUUGGUCUUAAAUAAAAGCUUAGGAUGUUUACUUUAUGCAUGGUAUAUUUUUUCAAUAACUUAUCAUAGUUCUGAGAUAUAAACCGAUGACCACAUUUUUCGCCGAUUUAACACUGUGAAAAACAGCUAAAAAAUAAUUUCACCGUUAAUCCUUUUAUAUUAUGGCAAGAUGAUGUGUUUGAUUUUAUGACAGACAUAAAGUAGACAUUCUAAGCUUUCUUUUAAGACCAAACCCAACUCUCUAGCUUGAUCCGUUGCUGAGCUAUCGCAUUCCAAAUGUCACAAAAAUUUGACCCGCGUUUUUCUCCGUUUUUUGUUUUUAGCGCUUAUCGCCCUAUGUCACGCAACGCCUCAAAUAUGGAAAUGCAUCAUGGUACUAAAGAAAGUUAGAAUUUA
Portunus trituberculatus (swimming crab) is the source of this 1764-nucleotide long non-coding RNA. RefSeq lists it as uncharacterized. The transcript has 9 exons. Lineage: Eukaryota; Metazoa; Arthropoda; Malacostraca; Decapoda; Portunidae. The record is from RefSeq and is a predicted model, not a curated record.